This 497-nucleotide ribosomal RNA is filed under the name uncultured bacterium. Its description in RNAcentral is "partial 16S ribosomal RNA". It matches the Rfam family "Bacterial small subunit ribosomal RNA", at positions 28 to 507 of the family's 1533-position model. The record is from RNAcentral.
GAUGAACGCUGGCGGCGUGCCUAAUACAUGCAAGUCGAGCGAACAGACGAGGAGCUUGCUCCUCUGACGUUAGCGGCGGACGGGUGAGUAACACGUGGAUAACCUACCUAUAAGACUGGGAUAACUUCGGGAAACCGGAGCUAAUACCGGAUAAUAUAUUGAACCGCCUGGUUCAAUAGUGAAAGACGGUUUUGCUGUCACUUAUAGAUGGAUCCGCGCCGCAUUAGCUAGUUGGUAAGGUAACGGCUUACCAAGGCAACGAUGCGUAGCCGACCUGAGAGGGUGAUCGGCCACACUGGAACUGAGACACGGUCCAGACUACUACGGGAGGCAGCAGUAGGGAAUCUUCCGCAAUGGGCGAAAGCUUGACGGAGCAACGCCGAGUGAGUGAUGAAGGUCUUCGGAUCGUAAAACUCUGUUAUUAGGGAAGAACAAAUGUGUAAGUAACUAUGCACGUCUUGACGGUACCUAAUCAGAAAGCCACGGCUAACUACGUG